Molecule: ribosomal RNA, 500 nt
Filed under: uncultured bacterium
Lineage: Bacteria
Description: partial 16S ribosomal RNA
Rfam family: Bacterial small subunit ribosomal RNA
Source: RNAcentral
GACGAACGCUGGCGGCAGGCUUAACACAUGCAAGUCGAGCGGGGAAGGGUAGCUUGCUACCUGACCUAGCGGCGGACGGGUGAGUAAUGCUUAGGAAUCUGCCUAUUAGUGGGGGACAACAUCCCGAAAGGAAUGCUAAUACCGCAUACGCCCUACGGGGGAAAGCAGGGGAUCUUCGGACCUUGCGCUAAUAGAUGAGCCUAAGUCAGAUUAGCUAGUUGGUGGGGUAAAGGCCUACCAAGGCGACGAUCUGUAGCGGGUCUGAGAGGAUGAUCCGCACACUGGGACUGAGACACGGCCCAGACUCCUACGGGAGGCAGCAGUGGGGAAUAUUGGACAAUGGGCGAAAGCCUGAUCCAGCCAUGCCGCGUGUGUGAAGAAGGCCUUUUGGUUGUAAAGCACUUUAAACGAGGAGGAGGCUACUUGGAUUAAUACUCUAGGAUAGUGGACGUUACUCGCAGAAUAAGCACCGGCUAACUCUGUGCCAGCCGCCGCAGUAA